CCUACGGGGGGCAGCAGUGGGGAAUAUUGCACAAUGGGGGAAACCCUGAUGCAGCGACGCCGCGUGAGUGAAGAAGUAUUUCGGUACGUAAAGCUCUAUCAGCAGGGAAGAAAAUGACGGUACCUGACUAAGAAGCCCCGGCGAACUACGUGCCAGCAGCCGCGGUAAUACGUAGGGGGCAAGCGUUAUCCGGAUUUACUGGGUGUAAAGGGAGCGUAGACGGCAGCGCAAGUCUGGAGUGAAAUCCCAUGGCUUAACCAUGGAACUGCUUUGGAAACUGUGCAGCUAGAGUGCAGGAGAGGUAAGCGGAAUUCCUAGUGUAGCGGUGAAAUGCGUAGAUAUUAGGAGGAACACCAGUGGCGAAGGCGGCUUACUGGACUGUAACUGACGUUGAGGCUCGAAAGCGUGGGGAGCAAACAGGAUUAGAUACCCGGGUAGUC
Molecule: ribosomal RNA, 440 nt
Filed under: uncultured bacterium
Lineage: Bacteria
Description: partial 16S ribosomal RNA
Rfam family: Bacterial small subunit ribosomal RNA
Source: RNAcentral